AGCGAACGCUGGCGGAAUGCUUAACACAUGCAAGUCGCACGGGGGCUUCGGCCUUAGUGGCGGACGGGUGAGUAACGCGUAGGAAUGUGUCCGAGGGUGGGGGACAACAACUGGAAACGGUUGCUAAUACCCCAUAUGCUUUCGAGUGAAAUGGAUUUUUCCGCCUAAAGAGAAGCUUGCGGCUGAUUAGCUUGUUGGUGAGGUAAUGGCUCACCAAGGCGACGAUCAGUAUCUGGUUUGAGAGGAUGAUCAGACACACUGGAACUGAGACACGGUCCAGACUCCUACGGGAGGCAGCAGUGGGGAAUUUUCCGCAAUGGGCGAAAGCCUGACGGAGCAAUCUCGCGUGGGGGAUGACGGCCUAUGGGUUGUAAACCUCUUUUUUCAGGGAGGAACAAAAUGACGUGUACCUGAAGAAUAAGCAUCGGCUAACUCCGUG
RNAcentral lists this ribosomal RNA (439 nucleotides) under uncultured bacterium. RNAcentral describes it as "bacterial SSU rRNA". It matches the Rfam family "Bacterial small subunit ribosomal RNA", at positions 29 to 507 of the family's 1533-position model. The record is from RNAcentral.